GCGGGGGCGGGGCGGGGGCGGGGCCGCGGGGCGGGGGCGGGGGCGGGGGCGGGGUGGGGACAGACCCCCGCGGUGUGGGGCGCCCGGAGCCUCAGCUAAGCCGCCGCCAGGGAGGGCACCGGACGCCGCUCGCAGAGGCGUCGGGCGGCGCGGGGCCGCGGGCUGCCGCCAGGGGGCGAGCGAGAGCCCCCGGGGCGGGUCCCGGCCGGGAGGGGCGCUCGGGGACCUCGCGGGAGGUCGCCCCCGGCCGCCGGGCCGCCCAGGCCUCUUUUAACCUUGGUCCCUCCCGCGCGCUCGCUCUUCCGCCCCGGCGCGCGACCCGGCUCAGUCCAGUUCAAGAUGCUGAUGAAGUUCAGGAUCUUUUCCAAUGGUGGCCAUUUUGCAUUGGAGUCUUCCAGAAGGCUGAGGUGAACUGUUAGCUUUG
Molecule: long non-coding RNA, 424 nt
Filed under: Canis lupus familiaris (dog)
Lineage: Eukaryota; Metazoa; Chordata; Mammalia; Carnivora; Canidae
Description: lncRNA (ENSCAFG00000033183.3)
Source: RNAcentral